Molecule: transfer RNA, 55 nt
Filed under: Sancassania berlesei
Lineage: Eukaryota; Metazoa; Arthropoda; Arachnida; Sarcoptiformes; Acaridae
Description: tRNA-Glu
Source: RNAcentral
CCCCCUAUAGUUUAAAUGAACAUAACUUUUUCAAUGUUAAAGAAGUUUAGGGGUA